AAUUCUUGCUUACUGCAGGCACAUAAUAACAAUCUCUAAGAAAUAAAUCUAAUUCUAAUGGUAAUCGCAGGGGGUAGGUUCCCACGGCCACAGCAGCAACUCUUGCUCCGUUCCCAAUGCGUAGGAUCAUCUUUCCAUCCCUCAGCCUCCUGCUCUCCUCAAGACCCUACAUAGAAGUGCACAAAUGAGCACUAGAACCAGAGUCAAGCACCCAACUGGAUGCAGAAGAAAUCGUAAGAUUAGACUCUAAAGUGAGCAUACC
RNAcentral lists this long non-coding RNA (262 nucleotides) under Elaeis guineensis (African oil palm). RNAcentral's name for it is "long non-coding RNA (EGUI_LNC063044)". The record is from RNAcentral. Lineage: Eukaryota; Viridiplantae; Streptophyta; Magnoliopsida; Arecales; Arecaceae.